AGGAUCAUUCAUAAUAAAAGUGUUUUAUGGCACUUUUUAAANAANCCAUAUCCACCUUGUGUGCAAUGUUUUUUUGAAAGGGNNUCUCUCUCUCCUGAGAGGGAAGAGGCUUUUUUUCUCUUUAACUUACUCAACUCUUAUUUUUAAUUGCCAUUUGUCUGAAAUAAAAUUAUUAUUAUGAAUAACUUAAUUCAAAAUAUAACUUUCAACAACGGAUCUCUUGGCUCUCGCAUCGAUGAAGAACGCAGCGAAAUGCGAUACGUAAUGUGAAUUGCAGGAUUCAGUGAAUCAUCGAAUCUUUGAACGCAUAUUGCGCUCUCUGGUAUUCCGGAGAGCAUGCUUGUUUGAGUAUCAGUAAACACCUCAAGUCUCAAGAUAUUAUUAUUAUAUCUCGAGAAUUGGAUUUGAGUGAUCCUAACGACAAGUCGUCUUUUUGAUGACUAGUAGGCAGGUCACUUGAAAUUCAGGUGCAGCUGAACUUUUCUUCUGAGCUAAAAGCAUUAUUUUAUUUAGUCUUUAUUGACUAUUACUUUUUGCUGCAGCUAAUAUAAAGGGAGAAGAGCUUCUUAAUGCUGACUGAUGCAGGAAUUUAUCAGUGUCUCGUAAAAAAGGACCUGUUAGACUCGAUCUCAAAUCAAGUAAGACUACCCGCUGAACUUAAGCAUAUCAAUAAGCGGAGGAAAAGAAACUAACAAGGAUUCCCCUAGUAACGGCGAGUGAAGCGGGAUGAGCUCAAAUUUAAAAUCUGGCUGGUUUACUAGUCCGAAUUGUAGUUUAAAGAAGCGUUUUCGGUGGCAUCCUGGGUAUAAAUCCUUUGGAAUAGGGUAUCAUAGAGGGUGAGAAUCCCGUCUUUGACUCAGUGAAUGCUACUAUGUGAUACGUUUUCAAAGAGUCGAGUUGUUUGGGAAUGCAGCUCAAAAUGGGUGGUAAAUUUCAUCUAAAGCUAAAUAUUGGCGAGAGACCGAUAGCGAACAAGUACCGUGAGGGAAAGAUGAAAAGAACUUUGAAAAGAGAGUUAAAAAGUGCGUGAAAUUGUUGAAAGGGAAACGUUUGACACCAGUCAUGCGGGUGGGAAAUCAAUCUUUUGGGGUGGGGAGUGUUGGAGGAAUUCCAGACCGCAAGGCUGGCCUUUGGCUCUAUCUCUGUUCUGAAGGAUGCACUUUCUCAUUUGCAGGUCAACAUCAGUUUCUUCCGCUGGACAAAACUCCAAGAGAAGGNANCNNCUUAGGCUGUGUUAUAGCUCUGGGGCGAUACAGUGGAGGGACUGAGGUUUGCAGUGUNUNNNNNNNNNNNNUCGACUGGUGCUAUGUGAUCGUU
Molecule: ribosomal RNA, 1317 nt
Filed under: uncultured zygomycete
Lineage: Eukaryota; Fungi
Description: eukaryotic LSU rRNA
Rfam family: Eukaryotic large subunit ribosomal RNA (bases 625-1317)
Source: RNAcentral